RNAcentral lists this long non-coding RNA (5853 nucleotides) under Sus scrofa (pig). Its description in RNAcentral is "lncRNA (ENSSSCG00040047695.1)". Lineage: Eukaryota; Metazoa; Chordata; Mammalia; Artiodactyla; Suidae. The record is from RNAcentral.
GGCACAUCCCGUUCAUGAAAAUGAAAGCACAAUAUUUAUCACAAAACUAGAUAAUUAUUCUGCAGUGAAGCUGUUUUCACUGUUUAUAUAUUUGCAUACUGUCAUGUUCUCAAUACAGGAGUGAAAACUUUUUACAUCAGCAUUAGGAUCAAUGUGAGGCUACAGUUUUGAGACAUAGCAAUUUACCAACAAAAAGGAUUGAUAUAGCAUUUUAGUACCAAUCCAACAUAAAUGAGUAUACGCUAUUCAGAAUGUACAUUUAUUGAUCUUAAACAGUUAAAAGAAUAUGUAUAAAUUUUAUGAUAUUGUAAUAUAUUUGUGUAGUUUCUAAAGGGAAGAAUAUUCUCCACAUGACAUCUUUCAGCCUGCACCAUAGCCACUUCAAUGUAGGAUCUGAGCUGCAUCUGAGACCUACACCACAGCUCACGGCAACCCCGGAUCCUUUUAACCCACUGAGCAAAGUCCAGGGAUAGAACCUGCAACCUCAUGGUUCCUAGUCGGAUUCGUUUCUGCUGCGCCACGACGUGAACUCCUUCUUUUUUUUUUUUUAAUUUUUGUUUUCAUUUUCUAGCUUGAGGAAAGACAUGGGGAAAAUCUCUCAUCAGAAAGAACUCCCUACUCACUGUACAUCAGGAAAGAAGUGAAAAUAUUGGCAUUUCAGCAACUAGAUGGAAUCUUUUUAUGAUUAAUAUACUAUUUUCAGAGAGGAGAAUUCAAAAACUAUAAGAUAUCUUGCAUUUUUCAGAUGUCAUUUUGGUGACAUCACAUAGAGUAAUUCUCCCACUUCUGGUUCAUAGGUCUUUUUUUGCUGCAUUUAAAAAUCAUAUUUAAAAUUUUUGCCAAGCCAUUGGUAAGAGAAUAUGAAAAGAAUAUUGAAAAAGAAUGCCAGUUUCAUUUUCCCUUUUAGAUCUUCCAGCUUUUAAGUUUGUAUCUGUCUGGCUUAUUGUUAGCAGCAAAGGCCUUUCACUAAUCCUACAAUUGUUUCUUAAGCAUGAGCUCCUGUCAGGCACAUUUCAGCCUUUGGGGGCACAGUGGGCAAUGACACACAUGACUUUUACAAAUGGCUGCAGUGUGGGAGGUUAGAACUAAUUUUUUUUUUAAUUAUAUAAAUAUAAAAACUACAUGUAUAGAACCAUAUAAACUAUAUAAAUAAUAAUAUUUUAGUUGCAACAAGUGCUUGGAUGAAAAUGAAACUGGACUGUAUGACUCAAAAAGAAAGGUGGUUAGACUGCUAAUCUAGAAUGGAUAGGUAAGGAAAUCCUCCUUAUAAGGUAACAUUUAAGCCCAAACCACAAAACUAAAACAUCUCAAGGGUAGGACAAAGUUUUGGCAGAGAGCCUUCCAAAACAGGACCCUGAAAGUGUUGAGGAUUGAAUGGGAUUUUCUCUUGCAGAGGAGAAGGAAGACUACUGAAUGUGGAGCCUGGUGAGUGAGACUGAUUAUGGUGGGAGAUGAGGGCAAUGGACAGCAGAUCACUCAGCACUUUGUUCUGAAAAUAAGGAGUCCAGGUUUUAGUUUAAGCAGAAGGAAAUUAUGGUAUAAGGUUUAAAGCAAGGGGAUAUGCCAAGCUCUCCUUUAUAAUGCUGAUGGAUCACUCUGGCUCAAGUAGAGAUGGAUUUCAAGAGGGCCCCAUCCUCGUAGAAGCAGGGGGAAUGGUGUGGAGUGUACAGCCACAGGCCAGGCUGGAGUGGUUGGUUUUGACUAAAGUAGUAGGAGAAAAGACAGGGAAGCUAAGUGGAUGCCCAAGGUCUAUUUUGGAGGCAAAGCCAACAGAACUUGCCAAUAUAUUGAAUUUUUCUGUGGCUGGGGGAGAAAGAAGAAUGAGUCCUAUGGUAUUGUCUCCACAACUGGGUGGAUAGUGAUGCAGUGAAGAAAGCUAGAGAUGGAAAUAGAAAGAAUGUGUUUGCACAGGGAGAGAUGGGAAGAAUUAACAAGGGUUCUACUUUGGAUAAAACAGGUAGAGGAACAUAUAAGACAUCUAAGUCAAGAUGUUACUUUCUGCUAUCUAAUUCCACUGGCCUGAAUGGUGUCCACCAAAACCCACAAAUAUUAGGUGAUCUUCACAAAAGUCAAUAGAUCAACUAGAAAAUAAAUUUUUUAGAGAAAAUGUUAAAACUGAAUUUUGUUUAGGUUAUUACUACAUGCAAUAUGUGUGUAUGUCUAUACAGCAUAUGCAUAUAUAUAUAUGUAAAAUAUAUCAGUUGUGUAUAUAUACUCAUAUAAAUAAGGAGUGAAACUAUGAUGUGCUAGUUGUCUUAGUCUGUAUCAUCCAGUAUGGCUCUAAGUGACCUUGAGACUCAGUUUCACGACUCUCCAUCUACUUACUCAAGAGAGACAGCUUUGUGUUGACCACUCAUGCAUUUAGUACAUCUGCUUUACUGAGAUCUAUUUGUGUCUAAAACUAGGAGCUCUUUAAAGGUUUAAUGAUGUGUAAAAUACAGCAGCCUACAUGCUUGGGCUCAGAAAAAAAAUGUAUCAGGGAUGAUGAUGUCAUUAGGGAUAAGAGAUGUACAUUUUAUUGUGAGUUUGAAUUAUUUUUCUUUUCUUUUUCCCUUUUAAGUACAUUUUAUGCUAACUAGUGCUUUGCAUGAUUCAUAUGAUUCCUAAACUGCACAGUCGGUGAUUUCUGGACCAACUUGGAUUGACUUUCUACAGAUAAAGUGGAAAGGUGACAGGCCAGUAGUAGAGUAAAGCAGUAUAGAUAAAGUAGAAAUUAGAUAAAGUGGCCUUAAAUCAAAAAGAUAUUUUAAGUUAUGUCUUGAAGAUAAAGUUAUCUUAAGUUUUCCCUUCCAACUCUGUAAUCAAAGAGUAGCUUGCGGCCAAUUUUAUUAAUAGGCCAUUUAUUUGAAUUCACAUAAUUACCUACUAUGACAUCCAGAGCUGAAUGUUAUACCAUUCACUGUGAAUUCACAGCCACCACUUCAAGCUGCAGUAAAAGGACCCCGACCUCUCCUUCAUAGAAUCUGAAAUACACAAAGUUGAAAGUGUGUCUGAGGACCACUAACACAAGUACUUAACAAACAGAAUAAAAAGAACAGUUGUUCCUUGAUAUCAGGUAUCCAAAUUGUUCUCAGGAUCCAUCUGAUGCCAAAAUCCAUGGAUACACAAUUCCCUUAUAUAAAAUGCUAUAAUAUAUGCAUAUAACCUAUACACAUACUUCUAUAUACUUUAAAUCAUCUUCUGAUUACUCAUAAUAAGUAACACAAUGUAAAUGCUCUGUAAGUAGUUGUAAAGACCAUGUAAAUGCUAUAUAAGUAGUUGCCAGCGCUGCAAGUUUUUUGUUUGUUAACUUUCUAUAAUUUUAGAGGGUGGAGAUCGGUUUGUUGACCUGAUGUUGGUUGACUCUUUGGAUGAAGGCCAUCUGUAUAUGCCACGCCCAGAACAUAUUACCAAAGGAGGCCUGAGUCUGGGAUAGGCUGUGAGGGCUCUUUGUGUCUGAGUGAAGCAAUGUUCCAGGUUCAAGGUCCAUUCAUAUAUUAUCCAGCAGGGGUUAAAAUAUAGCAUGAAUGGGACUGCCUCUCCCAACACUGAGAAACAGUAAUCAUUAUGAGACUGAAAAAACUCAAUUCUUCUAAUUUUUAAUUUCUUUUGCUCUCUUAUAUUAGAAAAUACUAUGCUUUUUAGCUGUGUCUGUUAAAGUAACUGUGAUGAAAUUAAAAGAGAAUGGACUUUCUCUCCAGUUGAUCUCCUGAGUCCCUCUCAGUUACUUAAACUCUAUGAAACACAGUUUCAUAAUAUUAAGAUAGAAAUAACACCUGCCUAAAGAGAUGUAUAGGAUUAUGGAGUUCCCAUCAUCAUGGUUUAGCAGUUAACGAACCUAACUAGCAUGCAUGAGGACAUGGGUUCGAUCCCCGGCCUCACUCAGUGGGUUAAGGAUCUGGCGUUGCUGUGAGCUGUGGUGUAGGGUCACAGACACGGCUCAGAUUCCACAUUGCUGUGGCUCUGAUGUAGGCUGGCAGCUACAGCUCCAAUUCAACCUCUAGCCUGGGAACCUCCAUAUGCUGCUGGUAUGGCCCUGAAAAGCUAAAAAAACAAAAAAAGAGAUUUGUAGGAUUAAAUGAAAAUAUAUACUAAAAUUUUCCUAAAGCAAAAGUUUACCAGGUACCAGGAAAGUGAAUCUAUUCAUGGUUUUAACAGGAUGUAAAUUAGUCAAUAAGUCACCUGUUUUAUUCUUUACUCUCCUGACAAUUCCUUUCUGGUUGUGAUCAAAGGUAAAUCUUGCUAAUAGCAACAACAGUUUUCAAAUUCACUGCACAAAAGAAACUAAGAGGGAAGAUUCAAUUCCCAGCCUUUUAAGGAUUCCUUCUGACCCCACUUCUCAAGUUCUCAAAACUCUGUGCUUGUCAGCUUUGUCACUGAAGCACAAAUUAAGAACUCUCAACCACCACCAAGUAAUUAUGUCUCACUUCAUUGACAAAGUCUUCCAUUUGGCUUACAGAAUUUUGGUUCCCUUAAUUACAAGUAAAAACAAUCCUAGAAAGAACUUAUAGAAUAAGCCAUUUGAACUUUUGCCCUAAGGAGUCUUGAGAACCAAAUUUUAGCUCCUGGCUGACUGCAUCCAGAGUGGUCUGAAGGGAAAUCCAGCAUUUUCCAGACUAAGCCCAUACUUUGCAUCACUGCGUUCCUUUGCUGUUAGCUCCUGCCCUCUCUGCUUGAGGUGCUGACUUUGGCAAUUGCUCCAGAGGAACUGACUGUGUUCCAGGGCACUUUCUGAAAGUUUCAGGGAGGGAAGAAAGGUUUUUAUUCUUGUCUGUGCCAAAGAGGGCUUUGGGGGUAUUUUCUUCCUCAGCAACUCUUUAACUCUCCUCUUGUGAAGCAUCUUUCUGUGUGCUUUGCAGAGAAUGGAAUCUCACCAGAGGCCUUCUGAAAUGACUUCAGAAAAGUGUAGAUAGGAGUCCAACGUAAUACGGCUUCCCCUCCACUCCCCCACCAGGAAGCUGCAGGGCCGAACUUUCAACCUCUUUUUUGACUAUGCUCAGAUUUCCAUGUCAUAAAAGGCAUUUUUUAAAGUACAAAUUUGUAUAGUAUUAUGCAAAAUUAUUUCCACAAGCAGAGUAUUUUUACUUAAACAGACUUUCAUGUAAUAAUGGUGCUAUUAUAAAUAAAAUAAAAGUAAAAGAAAUAGCAUGUCUGGCUUAUUAUCAUUCAUGUCUAGUCUUUGUUCAUGAUUUGAUCAUUCUUCUGACAUCUGCGUGCAAUUUUACCACCGUGGAAGGGUACUCUUCAUGUUUUUAUAUGUAUGACAGUACUUUUUGUAGCAUAUCGUCACCUUCAGAUAUUGGUUAUACUCUUAACUUUAGGUUUAGCAGGCCUCUAUAAACUUAUGAAUGUUUAUAUAAUGGACUAUCUAUUUGAGAGUUUUAAUUCUUUAUGUUGUCCCUUGGUUUUUAAAAAUGCUUACCAAAUGUAUUAGGGAAUUCUAUUAUAUCUAGUGUGGAGGAAAAUGACAGUUCCUAGACAGUAAAAGGAAAAUAAAUCAUUUUGUAAUUAUGCACAAGGUGAUUUCUGUAUUUAUGAGCGCAUGAGAAACAUAUUUCUCUAAGUUUUCUAAUUUUCUGUGAAAGGAAUAUCCAUAAUAAUAAAACAGCCCUAAAAUAUAAAUGUAUAAAAUAGGCUACAAUAUUAUAUUUUAAAAGUCUUGAUGAUGGGAGUUCCCGUUGUGGUGCAGUGGAAGUGAUCCUGAUAGUAUCCAUGAGGAUAUGGGUUUGAUCCCUGGCCUCACUCAUUGGGUUAAGGAUCCCGUAUUGCUGUGGCUGCACUAUAGGCCAGCAGCUAUAGCUCUAAUUUGACCCCUAGCCUGGGAACUUCAAUAUGCUACGAGUGUGGCCCUAAAAAGCAAAAAAAAAAAAAAAA